AAAUGACGGUACCUGACUAAGAAGCACCGGCUAAAUACGUGCCAGCAGCCGCGGUAAUACGUAUGGUGCAAGCGUUAUCCGGAUUUACUGGGUGUAAAGGGAGCGUAGACGGCUGUGUAAGUCUGAAGUGAAAGCCCGGGGCUCAACCCCGGGACUGCUUUGGAAACUAUGCAGCUAGAGUGUCGGAGAGGUAAGUGGAAUUCCCAGUGUAGCGGUGAAAUGCGUAGAUAUUGGGAGGAACACCAGUGGCGAAGGCGGCUUACUGGACGAUGACUGACGUUGAGGCUCGAAAGCGUGGGGAGCAAACAGGAUUAGAUACCCUGGUAGUCCACGCCGUAAACGAUGACUACUAGGUGUCGGGGAGCAAAGCUCUUCGGUGCCACAGCAAACGCAAUAAGUAGUCCACCUGGGGAGUACGUUCGCAAGAAUGAAACUCAAA
RNAcentral lists this ribosomal RNA (439 nucleotides) under uncultured bacterium. RNAcentral describes it as "bacterial SSU rRNA". It matches the Rfam family "Bacterial small subunit ribosomal RNA", at positions 467 to 905 of the family's 1533-position model. The record is from RNAcentral.